GACGAACGCUGGCGGCGUGCCUAAUACAUGCAAGUAGAACGCUGAAGGAGGAGCUUGCUUCUCUGGAUGAGUUGCGAACGGGUGAGUAACGCGUAGGUAACCUGCCUGGUAGCGGGGGAUAACUAUUGGAAACGAUAGCUAAUACCGCAUAAGAGUAGAUGUCGCAUGACAUUUGCUUAAAAGGUGCAAUUGCAUCACUACCAGAUGGACCUGCGUUGUAUUAGCUAGUUGGUGAGGUAACGGCUCACCAAGGCAACGAUACAUAGCCGACCUGAGAGGGUGAUCGGCCACGCUGAGACUGAGACACAGCCCAGACUCCUACGGGAGGCAGCAGUAGGGAAUCUUCGGCAAUGGACGGAAGUCUGACCGAGCAACGCCGCGUGAGUGAAGAAGGUGUUCGGCUCGUAAAGCUCUGUUGUAAGAGAAGAACGAGUGUGAGAGUGGAAAGUUCACACUGUGACGGUAUCUUACCAGAAAGGGAGGGCUAACUACGUG
RNAcentral lists this ribosomal RNA (495 nucleotides) under uncultured bacterium. Its description in RNAcentral is "partial 16S ribosomal RNA". It matches the Rfam family "Bacterial small subunit ribosomal RNA", at positions 28 to 507 of the family's 1533-position model. The record is from RNAcentral.